This 391-nucleotide long non-coding RNA is filed under the name Homo sapiens (human). RNAcentral's name for it is "HSALNT0343221". Lineage: Eukaryota; Metazoa; Chordata; Mammalia; Primates; Hominidae. The record is from RNAcentral.
ACCCAGUCUCACUCUGUCACUCAGGCUGAAGUGCAGUGGCAUGAUCUUGGCUCAUUGCACCCUCUGCCUCCUGGGUUCAAGCGAUUCUCCUACCUCAGUCUCCCGAGUAGCUGGAAUUACAGCAGGUCACUGUGUUUCAGAGGAGGUGGAGAUGCAAACAAUUACAAAUUCAUGUGAUCUUUGCCUCAAUGGAGGCAUCAUUUAGAGGCAUUGCCCCCAAAACACUGUGCCUGAGAGAGAGCAUCCUGCAGUUCAUGUAAUGAAAAGACCUGGCAUGAGACAGUGGAGCAGGACAGCUAUGGACCCCAAACUCAAAGGAAGUACACAGUGGCAUAUGAGUUAAAUUAAUUCAGACAACUUGAGUAGAAACACAGUUUCCUAAGGAAAUAAA